GACGAACGCUGGCGGCGUGCUUAACACAUGCAAGUCGAACGGAAAGGCCCUGCUUUUGUGGGGUGCUCGAGUGGCGAACGGGUGAGUAACACGUGAGUAACCUGCCCUUGACUUUGGGAUAACUUCAGGAAACUGGGGCUAAUACCGGAUAGGAGCUCCUGCUGCACGGUGGGGGUUGGAAAGUUUCGGCGGUUGGGGAUGGACUCGCGGCUUAUCAGCUUGUUGGUGGGGUAGUGGCUUACCAAGGCUUUAACGGGUAGCCGGCCUGAGAGGGUGACCGGCCACAUUGGGACUGAGAUACGGCCCAGACUCCUACGGGAGGCAGCAGUGGGGAAUAUUGCACAAUGGGCGGAAGCCUGAUGCAGCAACGCCGCGUGCGGGAUGACGGCCUUCGGGUUGUAAACCGCUUUCGCCUGUGACGAAGCGUGAGUGACGGUAAUGGGUAAAGAAGCACCGGCUAACUACGUG
RNAcentral lists this ribosomal RNA (468 nucleotides) under uncultured bacterium. RNAcentral's name for it is "partial 16S ribosomal RNA". It matches the Rfam family "Bacterial small subunit ribosomal RNA", at positions 28 to 507 of the family's 1533-position model. The record is from RNAcentral.